GACGAACGCUGGCGGCGUGCUUAACACAUGCAAGUCGAACGCGCCUGCCCUCUGGGUUUCUGGGGGGUGGGUGAGUGGCGAACGGGUGAGUAACACGUGAGUAACCUGCCCCCUUCUUCGGGAUAACGGUCUGAAAGGGCUGCUAAUACCGGGUAUUCACUGGUCUCCGCAUGGGGUCUGGUGGAAAGGUUUUUUUCUGGUGGGGGAUGGGCUCGCGGCCUAUCAGCUUGUUGGUGGGGUGAUGGCCCACCAAGGCUUUGACGGGUAGCCGGCCUGAGAGGGUGACCGGUCACAUUGGGACUGAGAUACGGCCCAGACUCCUACGGGAGGCAGCAGUGGGGAAUAUUGCACAAUGGGCGCAAGCCUGAUGCAGCGACGCCGCGUGAGGGAUGGAGGCCUUCGGGUUGUGAACCUCUUUCGCCCGUGGUCAAGCCGCGACGUGGGUCGUGGUGAGGGUAGUGGGUAAAGAAGCGCCGGCUAACUACGUG
This 488-nucleotide ribosomal RNA is filed under the name uncultured bacterium. Its description in RNAcentral is "partial 16S ribosomal RNA". It matches the Rfam family "Bacterial small subunit ribosomal RNA", at positions 28 to 507 of the family's 1533-position model. The record is from RNAcentral.